GCACCCGUAGCUCAGUGGAUAGAGCACCGGUCUUCUAAACCGAUGGUCGCUGGUUCGAUCCCAGCCGGGUGCGCCA
Molecule: transfer RNA, 76 nt
Filed under: Spartobacteria bacterium AMD-G5
Lineage: Bacteria; Pseudomonadati; Verrucomicrobiota; Spartobacteria
Also listed under: 3 other names
Description: tRNA-Arg
Rfam family: tRNA
About the family: Transfer RNA (tRNA) molecules are approximately 80 nucleotides in length. Their secondary structure includes four short double-helical elements and three loops (D, anti-codon, and T loops). Further hydrogen bonds mediate the characteristic L-shaped molecular structure. tRNAs have two regions of fundamental functional importance: the anti-codon, which is responsible for specific mRNA codon recognition, and the 3' end, to which the tRNAs corresponding amino acid is attached (by aminoacyl-tRNA synthetases). tRNAs cope with the degeneracy of the genetic code in two manners: having more than one tRNA (with a specific anti-codon) for a particular amino acid; and 'wobble' base-pairing, i.e. permitting non-standard base-pairing at the 3rd anti-codon position.
Source: RNAcentral